GGAUUCGCACCAGUGUGUGUGUGAGGAGACACGCUGUGGAGAGCGGAGCCGCUGCUGAGGAGACCGCUGUGAGGAGACACGCUGUGGACUGAGGAGCCGUGCUGACAAGCCACGCUGAGGAGAAACACGCUGUUUGGAGGUUGCUGAAUGCAGAGAGCCUGAGCCCGCACCAAGGGGCGGACGUCAAUGGGAGAUCUGGGAGCAUCAGAAGCAGCGCAGCUGCAGGAACAUCCUCUGCCGUUGUGCCCACGCAGAGGCAAAGCCUAGGUGUGACUAGCAGGCCACCACUGCAGCCAUCACCCUGACGCCGCAUAUCACUGGUUUCUCCCGUGCCCCCACAACAACUGCUGGACAGUCCUCCACGCUUGUCGCCACAAUCACCUCAUCUGCCUGAGGACACCAAUCAACCUGAAUGUGAAACACAACAGCAACAAACACAGGACACAUUUACCCUUCAACUUACGACAAUACCACCACCAUACACCACACCCACAGAUUUACCAACCCAAACACAACCACAAACACCUGAGUAGCACAUAAGCCCAAGCCUAGCCAUGCCGCAGUCAACAGACCAGGCAUUUUGGUCCACCUGGGCCACACAACAAGCCCACACCACAGAAAGUCUGAAAAACAGACCCAAGCAUUAACGAGUCUAGCCCAUCACAUGCCCCGCCUAUGCAGAAGCAACAGUCGCCAACAUACGGAGCUCACCAGAUUGACCAAUACAGUCGAACUAAUGCGGGCAGACAAUACCCGCAUGCUAGAUACAUUUCAAAGAGUAAUGGACGACAAUAUACGACUACAUCAAACAUACUUGCAAAUAAUACAAGCCAACCAAAUCACACAAGACACAAUGCUGAGAGUCAUGGAGAAUUACACGGCUGCAACUCGAGACUUACAUAGUACUAUGACGACGCUUACACAGCAUCUAAUGCAUCCAGAACAACAGACAAGCUCGAGUUCCACCACCACAACCCCCUUGGUGACACCAGUAACAUCCCUUCCAAGACGCUCGAGCAGAAGUCGCUAACACACCAGAGGAAAAGGCCCAGCCCCCUCAAGUGGCAGACCCCAUAAAUAGAUGUGCGUAAGCAUGUGGGUGUAAUGUUAUUUGUUUACUUAAUUUACGCAGCGUUGGUGCGUAUUCAAAAUUCAGUUAUGUACACAAGUUUACAGAUAUAAAGUGUUUGUUCAA
Long non-coding RNA from Pseudophryne corroboree (corroboree frog), 1195 nucleotides. RefSeq lists it as uncharacterized. The record is from RefSeq and is a predicted model, not a curated record. The transcript has 3 exons. Lineage: Eukaryota; Metazoa; Chordata; Amphibia; Anura; Myobatrachidae.